CGGUAGAGGGGGCAACCCUUGAGAGUGGCGAACGGGUGAGUAAUAUAUCGGAACGUGCCCAGUCGUGGGGAUAACGUAGAGAAAUUUACGCUAAUACCGCAUACGAUCUAAGGAUGAAAGCGGGGGAUUCGCAAGAACCUCGCGCGAUUGGAGCGGCUGAUAUCAGAUUAGGUUGUUGGUGAGGUAAAAGCUCACCAAGCCGACGAUCUGUAGCUGGUUUGAGAGAACGACCAGCCACACUGGGACUGAGACACGGCCCAGACUCCUACGGGAGGCAGCAGUGGGGAAUUUUGGACAAUGGGCGAAAGCCUGAUCCAGCAAUGCCGCGUGCAGGAAGAAGGCCUUCGGGUUGUAAACUGCUUUUGUACGGAACGAAAAGGCUCUUUCUAAUAAAGAGGGCCCAUGACGGUACCGUAAGAAUAAGCACCGGCUAACUACGUG
RNAcentral lists this ribosomal RNA (441 nucleotides) under uncultured bacterium. RNAcentral's name for it is "bacterial SSU rRNA". It matches the Rfam family "Bacterial small subunit ribosomal RNA", at positions 67 to 507 of the family's 1533-position model. The record is from RNAcentral.